GUGAACGCUGGCGGUAGGCCUAACACAUGCAAGUCGAACGGCAGCACAGUAAGAGCUUGCUCUUACGGGUGGCGAGUGGCGGACGGGUGAGGAAUACAUCGGAAUCUACUUUUUCGUGGGGGAUAACGUAGGGAAACUUACGCUAAUACCGCAUACGACCUACGGGUGAAAGCAGGGGAUCUUCGGACCUUGCGCGAUUGAAUGAGCCGAUGUCGGAUUAGCUAGUUGGCGGGGUAAAGGCCCACCAAGGCGACGAUCCGUAGCUGGUCUGAGAGGAUGAUCAGCCACACUGCAACUGAGACACGGUCCAGACUCCUACGGGAGGCAGCAGUGGGGAAUAUUGGACAAUGGGCGCAAGCCUGAUCCAGCCAUACCGCGUGGGUGAAGAAGGCCUUCGGGUUGUAAAGCCCUUUUGUUGGGAAAGAAAAGCAGCAGGUUAAUACCCCGCUGUUCUGACGGUACCCAAAGAAUAAGCACCGGCUAACUUCGUG
This 491-nucleotide ribosomal RNA is filed under the name uncultured bacterium. Its description in RNAcentral is "partial 16S ribosomal RNA". It matches the Rfam family "Bacterial small subunit ribosomal RNA", at positions 29 to 507 of the family's 1533-position model. The record is from RNAcentral.